UAGUAACGGCGAGUGAAGCGGGAUGAGCUCAAGCUUAAAAUCUCUGUGCCAGUUUGGCAUGGCGAAUUGUAGUCUAUAGAGGCGUUGUCAGUGCGGCUGUGCGGGGUAAGUUCCUUGGAAGAGGACAGCAUCGAGGGUGAUACUCCCGUUUGUACCUGUGCGGCUUGCGCGUACGACACGUUUUCUUCGAGUCGCGUUGUUUGGGACUGCAGCGCAAAGUAGGUGGUAAAUUCCAUCUAAAGCUAAAUAUUGGUGCGAGACCGAUAGCGAACAAGUACCGUGAGGGAAAGAUGAAAAGAACUUUGAAAAGAGAGUUAAAGAGUACCUGAAACUGCUGAAAGGGAAGCGAAUCGUAUCCAGUGUCUAUAAUCUGCGGCAUAUUUCAUUGGCGGCGGUGUGCGUGCUUUUGCGUCGGAAGCGGCUUUUGUUGCUCUGUGCUUUUGCUGUGCGCGCUGUUGCUGGUGCCCUGUGUUGCGGUGGGACGUCAGAGUCAGUUCGUAUGCUGCGGGAAAUGGCCGCCGAGGAGGUAGGUCAGGAUUUCGGUCUUGGCUGUUAUAUCUUGGUGGUUUGUUGUCGUGGUUGGGACUGAGGUGCCUACAAUGUGCUUUUGAGUGUGCCGGGUUCUCAUUUGGUGGACUGUUUGGAUAGCUUGCUAUGCUUGUGGUUUUUUCAUCGAGUGAUUGAGUCUGGUGGUAACUUAUUGCCGUUC
This 709-nucleotide ribosomal RNA is filed under the name Globisporangium paroecandrum. Its description in RNAcentral is "eukaryotic LSU rRNA". It matches the Rfam family "Eukaryotic large subunit ribosomal RNA", at positions 81 to 634 of the family's 3401-position model. Lineage: Eukaryota; Oomycota; Peronosporomycetes; Pythiales; Pythiaceae. The record is from RNAcentral.